This 630-nucleotide ribosomal RNA is filed under the name uncultured bacterium. RNAcentral's name for it is "bacterial SSU rRNA". It matches the Rfam family "Bacterial small subunit ribosomal RNA", at positions 233 to 863 of the family's 1533-position model. The record is from RNAcentral.
GCGGCGCAUUAGCUAGUUGGUGGGGUAGAGGCCUACCAAGGCGAUGAUGCGUAGCCGGACUGAGAGGUCGAACGGCCACAUUGGGACUGAGACACGGCCCAAACUCCUACGGGAGGCAGCAGUAGGGAAUUUUCGGCAAUGGGGGAAACCCUGACCGAGCAACGCCGCGUGAAUGAAGAAGUAUUUCGGUAUGUAAAGUUCUUUUAUUGAGGAAGAAUGGGUUGGGUAGGAAAUGACCUAACCGUGACGGUACUCAAUGAAUAAGCCCCGGCUAACUAUGUGCCAGCAGCCGCGGUAAUACAUAGGGGGCAAGCGUUAUCCGGAAUUAUUGGGCGUAAAGGGUGCGUAGGCGGUUUGUUAAGUCUAAGGUGUAAGUUCAAGGCUCAACCUUGUGAUGCUUUAGAAACUGGCGGACUAGAGAUAGAUAGAGGCAAGUGGAAUUCCAUGUGUAGCGGUAAAAUGCGUAAAUAUAUGGAGGAACACCAGUGGCGAAGGCGGCUUGCUGGGUCUAUACUGACGCUGAGGCACGAAAGCGUGGGGAGCAAACAGGAUUAGAUACCCUGGUAGUCCACGCCAUAAACGAUGAGUACUAAGUGUUGGGGGAACCCAGUGCUGUAGUUAACAUAUUAA